GACAGAGGGUGCUAGCGUUGUUCGGAAUUAUUGGGCGUAAAGAGCUCGUAGGCGGUUUGUUGCGUCUGUCGUGAAAGCCCACAGCUUAACUGUGGGUCUGCGGUGGAUACGGGCAGACUAGAGGCAGGUAGGGGAGAAUGGAAUUCCCGGUGUAGCGGUGAAAUGCGCAGAUAUCAGGAGGAACACCGGUGGCGAAGGCGGGUCUCUGGGCCGAUACUGACGCUGAGGAGCGAAAGCGUGGGGAGCGAACAGG
Molecule: ribosomal RNA, 253 nt
Filed under: uncultured bacterium
Lineage: Bacteria
Description: partial 16S ribosomal RNA
Rfam family: Bacterial small subunit ribosomal RNA
Source: RNAcentral